Molecule: ribosomal RNA, 460 nt
Filed under: uncultured bacterium
Lineage: Bacteria
Description: partial 16S ribosomal RNA
Rfam family: Bacterial small subunit ribosomal RNA
Source: RNAcentral
CCUACGGGCGGCAGCAGUGAGGAAUAUUGGUCAAUGGCCGCAAGCCUGAACCAGCCAAGCAGCGUGAAGGAUGAAUGCCCUACGGGUUGUAAACUUCUUUUAUCAAGGGAUAAAGUGAGGCACGAGUGCCUUUUUGUGUGUACUUUAUGAAUAAGCAUCGGCUAACUCCGUGCCAGCAGCCGCGGUAAUACGGAGGAUUCGAGCGUUAUCCGGAUUUAUUGGGUUUAAAGGGAGCGUAGAGGGGUUGUUAAGUCAGUUGUGAAAGUUUGCGGCUCAACCGUAAAAGAGCAAUUGAUACUGGCAGUCUUGAGUACAGUUGAGGUAGGCGGAAUGCGUGGUGUAGCGGUGAAAUGCUUAGAUAUCGCGAAGAACUCCGAUUGCGAAGGCAGCUUACUAAACGGGCUCUGACAUUGAGGCACGAAAGUGUGGGUAUCAAACAGGAUUAGAUACCCGGGUAGUC